AUUAUCAAAAUUAAACAAACAAAAGGAAGACUGUACAUAGUGAGGAUCAAAAGGGUACGCUAUGCAAAUGACUAGAAGUGUACGUGUACUUUAAUCG
Rhagoletis zephyria (snowberry fruit fly) is the source of this 97-nucleotide long non-coding RNA. RefSeq lists it as uncharacterized. Lineage: Eukaryota; Metazoa; Arthropoda; Insecta; Diptera; Tephritidae. The record is from RefSeq and is a predicted model, not a curated record.